AUGCAACGUCUGACUCAUCCCCAAAGUCACAAUGACCAUGAAAGUACACAUUUUGAACUGGUUCAGGACAUCAGGGCAGCCACAACAGUGCAACUGAAGACUCAUGAAAGAAGACUUCCAGAACCACUUCAGAAAAUGGCAAGAAUAAUGGGAAGCGUGUGUCUGAAGGGAGCACAAGGGACACAGCUGCUUCUCCACAGCCUGCCUGCUCAUCUCAGCACUUCACAGGAUGUUCAUCCUGUCACCUACAGACCAGCACCUUACACAGCAGUCUUCAUUCUAAGGAAACCACGCCAUACACAGAUACACACUUUUUACUAAAUGCUACAAAUAAAUAUAAAUAAAACCUUUAUACUAAAGGUAGUUAAAAUCAUUUCCUACUGAAAUAGAAAAUCAACCAAAAACAGGCUAAACUGAACUUUAUGGAAUUACAAAGAAGAAAUAGUGUAAGAGACUAUCUUUGAUAUCUCAAGGAUUUAUACUUCAGUUAAGGAAAUGGCAUCAGAGCACCCUAGGAAUGCUGUUUUCCACAGUAAGUGCCAAAUGAACUUACUGGCUCCAGACAGUGUCCCUGGAACAUCAGAAAAGCAACCUCCAGUGUCCCUCAGUAUUCAUGAGAGGUGGGGUCCAGGACCCCCUAUGCAUACCAAAACACACAGACGUUCAAUUCCCUUAUAGAAAGUGGUGUACUACCUUGCACAUAACCUACCCACAUCCUCCUGUAUGUUUUAAUAUCUGAACUACUUAUAACACUCAAUACAGUGCAGAUGCCACGUAAAGAUUUUUUUACUGUAUUGUUUAGAAAAUGACAAUGAGAGAAAAGUUGGUACGUGUUCAGUACAGAUGCAACGCUCGAAAAAUAUUUUCAAUUUGCAGUUGCUUUUGAGUCUACAGAUGAAGACACUGCAGAUAGGGAGGGAUGACUGUAUUUAUAAUAGGAAAGAAGGAAUUAUAAGCCAAUUCUUGAAUAAGUGAAUCUUUUGAGAGAAGCACCAGAUGGAAGGUGCUUCUGAGAUGGACACGGUGUGAAGGAAAGAGUCAGGCAAGAUGAGCACAAGGCAGGCAGUGGAGGUGAGAGCUGGGAUACCAGACAAAGGAAAGGAGACGGCUGCUGGUUCUGGUGACCUGAAUGACAGACACAAGUGGUUCUCUAUCCCCCAGUGGAGGCUAAGGACAGGUUUAGAAUAUGAGCGUGUUCAUGGAUCACUGCAUAACACUUAGAAAAGGGAUGCAGAAAGGAAAAAAUAAAAUAGGGUAGCCAGUAAGGAAGGUCUUGAAAUAUCUAGGUCAGGAUAAUGACAGCAUGAACUGAGGUGGCAGCAGUGGAGAGGGAAAAUGACAGGGCAAGAGUGACAAGGGGAGAUGGGUGUCAACAAGGUGCCAUGUUCUGGAUCCUCGGAGGCAUGGAGAACAAAACUCAGGAAGGCAGGAAAGUACAUGUGCUAUGUGCACAAGUGUGCACUGUGCACUCACUGUGUCCUGCGUGUGUCCUGCACAUGUGCAUGUUCACUUAUGUGGAUAUGUGUGUUGGUUAGUUCAUUUGGAUUUUUCUUUUGGCCAAGGGACAACCAGGGAAGUGUGGGAUUUGUUUCGGGGGAGGCAAGGCAGUGUUACCCGAGAAGGGACCCUUCCACAGCAGUGACCACGGGUCAGAAAUGAGCUGCCUUGCUCAGGCUAAGGAUGAAGCUGUGGCAUCAGACAGGGUGGUGACGGGCACACACAGGGUAUGGGAAGCAGAGAGCCACAGGACAAGCCUGAGGCCGAGGGAGACUUAGGAGGCAGAGCGCUUUGUGGGUUUGGAGGCGCGCAUGUUGAUUCUGCCACUGCUCCUGUGUCUUUGUCCCCUUUCAGCUUUCUACACUUCAGCUAGUUUCUUUCCUUCCAACGUUUUGAAUAAUUUAAGGAAGUACACUGUAUAGAACCUAUCCCCUUAAAUUACAGAACUAAGUAACCCCAACUACACACCCCCGGACGGCAUUACGCUCUCCACAGAUCAUCUUCCCACUUUCACCAGUCAGCUGAAGCUCCGGCCCAGAACACAUCCCAAACUCACCUAUCCCUGCAUUUCCAUGGGUCGUGGAGGAUCCUGCAAAGUGUUCUCCCUGCUUCCACCCCCACAUAUACCCCAACAAUUCCUUCUCUAGAAAGUGGCUAAAAUGACUUUAAAACAUAAUUUAGAUCUGCUCAAAACCCACCUACCAGCGCUUCCCCAGACGCAGUAAGCCCUAUUCAUGCAGGUGGCGGUGCUAGCCUGGCUGGUGGCUAUUUCUCAACAUACUAUGUGUUCUCCAGCCCCAGCUCAUGACAACACUGCCCCCAGUAUGGGGGGUUCUUCCUCCUGGUCUUUAUGGGGAUGAUCCUUCUCUCUAGAUCACUCUAAGAAAUGCACUUGCAACAACUAUCCUAAUUGCUCCUUAGUCUCUUUCAUGCCAGCUGCUCUUUCUUGUUUCUGUGGCACUGACAAGAAGAUUCUACUUUGCCGAUGUCACAGUGUCCCCAAGUCAGCUGACCCUUUGUCUUCUACAUGGUGGUGCAACCUAAAUUCUGGCCCCUGCUGUGCACCAGUGAACAGUGUAGUUUUUGUUGACUCUCUUAUUACUAAUGGACCUUGGUCUUUUCAUUCAUAAAAUGUAGCCCAGACUUCCUGUCGGUGCACGAUACACUCUUGCAUUAGGUAGAAGGACAACUGCUAAGAGAAAGGGAAGACGAAAGAAAGGACGAAAGGAGGGAUGGAGAAGACAGAGGGAAGAACCAGUCUUGCAGAUCAAUCCUACCAUGUGGUCCUGCCGCAAGCAGAGGAAGUCCUGGCACCAGGGAGCCUGAAUCCCACCACUGCCCCUAAGACAACUGACCCAGAGUUUGAGGGACGGUUUCAAAAAUGUUAUUAGAUUAGUAGCUUUCCAAAGCAAUUAGGAGCAUGGGCCUUGAAAUGCACAGACUCUAGCUCUUCUACAAAGCGGAUUCUAGCUCGGCUCAUUACUAUCUUUGAGUCAUUUCACCUCCCUGGCUCCUCUCCUGGGCUAGGGAGCUGACAGUGACCCACAGGUAGUCAUUCUGAAGAUUAUGUGAGAUCGUGUGGCACAGCACUGGGUGGGCACCUGGAGCUUGAGCAGAGUGAUCAUCACACACUGUGCAGUUGUGGACUUUUUCAAAGCUGCUGCUUCUGAGUGUAGCUUUACCUGUGCUGCUGUAGGACGGUGAAACAGUCUCUGUCUCUGUGUUGGUCUGUGAAGUAUGGCAAAGGUGUUGUAUGCCCAAGUCCUUACGUGGAGCUCCAGCUUCGAAUGCUUAACUCAUUUCCCCACUAGAGCCAAAUAUUUUAUUUUAAAAUAAAAUUACAAGCUGGUUAUGGUAGUGCACACCUGUAAUCUUAUCACUCUCUAAGGCUGAGGUAGAAGGAUUUCAAGUUAAAGCCCAGCUUGGGCAAAUGAGUAAUUUGGUAAGAU
Molecule: long non-coding RNA, 3446 nt
Filed under: Fukomys damarensis (Damara mole-rat)
Lineage: Eukaryota; Metazoa; Chordata; Mammalia; Rodentia; Bathyergidae
Description: lncRNA (ENSFDAG00000028460.1)
Source: RNAcentral